UAACAAUGAUUCCCUCAGUAACGGCGAGUGAACAGGGAAAAGCUCAAAGUUGGAACCUCCUAGCCCUAGGUUAGGCGGAUUGUAAACUAAAGCUCUUGGGUAGUACGGUUGGCCUGGUAAAAAAGUUUUCUGGAAAGAAGCGACAUAGAGGGUGAUAUCCCCGUCUUUGGCCAGAGCUCAAUCAUGCGUUUGCCCUUUAGCGAAGAGUCAGGUUGUUUGGGAAUGCAGCCUAAAAUGGGAGGUAAAUCUCUCCUAAAGCUAAAUAUUGACGAAAGACCGAUAGCGAACAAGUACCGUGAGGGAAAGAUGAAAAGCACUUUGAAAAGAGGGUCAAAAAGUACGUGAAAUUGCUGAAAGGGAACCGUAUGAAAUCAGUCUGAUGUGUUGGUAAUCAAUCUAGAUCUCGAUCUGGAUGCACUUGCCAAUGUAUUAGCCUGCGACAAUUUGAUUUGGAGGAAAAAAGAUGGGAGAAUGUGGCCUUGGUUUUCAAUCAAGGUGUUAUAGCUCCUGUCAAAAUACUUUGGAUUGGAUUGAGGAUCGCAGCGAGCCGCAAGGUAAGGGUCUCGGGCGCUUGGUUUGUUCAAAAAAGGAAUCUCUGCUUCGGGUGGUGUCUUUUUUGAACGAGCCAACUCGUUUGUUUCUCCUUUUUCUCGCUUAGGUCGUAGGCAUAAUGAUUUUAUAUGACCCGUCUUGAAACACGGACCAA
RNAcentral lists this ribosomal RNA (706 nucleotides) under Absidia californica. RNAcentral describes it as "eukaryotic LSU rRNA". It matches the Rfam family "Eukaryotic large subunit ribosomal RNA", at positions 66 to 669 of the family's 3401-position model. Lineage: Eukaryota; Fungi; Mucoromycota; Mucoromycetes; Mucorales; Cunninghamellaceae. The record is from RNAcentral.